Molecule: ribosomal RNA, 740 nt
Filed under: uncultured Streptococcaceae bacterium
Lineage: Bacteria; Bacillati; Bacillota; Bacilli; Lactobacillales; Streptococcaceae
Description: bacterial SSU rRNA
Rfam family: Bacterial small subunit ribosomal RNA
Source: RNAcentral
AAGUAGAACGCUGAAGCUUGGUGCUUGCACCGAGCGGAUGAGUUGCGAACGGGUGAGUAACGCGUAGGUAACCUGCCUGGUAGCGGGGGAUAACUAUUGGAAACGAUAGCUAAUACCGCGUGACAACAGUUAUUGCAUGAUAACUGUUUAAAAGGGGCAAUUGCUCCACUACCAGAUGGACCUGCGUUGUAUUAGCUAGUUGGUGAGGUAACGGCUCACCAAGGCGACGAUACAUAGCCGACCUGAGAGGGUGAUCGGCCACACUGGGACUGAGACACGGCCCAGACUCCUACGGGAGGCAGCAGUAGGGAAUCUUCGGCAAUGGACGGAAGUCUGACCGAGCAACGCCGCGUGAGUGAAGAAGGUUUUCGGAUCGUAAAGCUCUGUUGUAAGAGAAGAACGAGUGUGAGAGUGGAAAGUUCACACUGUGACGGUAUCUUACCAGAAAGGGACGGCUAACUACGUGCCAGCAGCCGCGGUAAUACGUAGGUCCCGAGCGUUAUCCGGAUUUAUUGGGCGUAGAGCGAGCGCAGGCGGUUAGAUAAGUCUGAAGUUAAAGGCUGUGGCUUAACCAUAGUACGCUUUGGAAACUGUUUAACUUGAGUGCAAGAGGGGAGAGUGGAAUUCCAUGUGUAGCGGUGAAAUGCGUAGAUAUAUGGAGGAACACCGGUGGCGAAAGCGGCUCUCUGGCUUGUAACUGACGCUGAGGCUCGAAAGCGUGGGGAGCAAACAGGAUUAGA